This 465-nucleotide ribosomal RNA is filed under the name uncultured bacterium. RNAcentral describes it as "partial 16S ribosomal RNA". It matches the Rfam family "Bacterial small subunit ribosomal RNA", at positions 29 to 507 of the family's 1533-position model. The record is from RNAcentral.
AUGCACGCUGGCGGCGUGCUUAACACCUGCCAGUCGCACGAUGAAGCCCAGCUUGCUGGGUGGAUUAGUGGCGAACGGGUGAGUAACACGUGAGUAACCUGCCCUUAACUCUGGGAUAAGCCUGGGAAACUGGGUCUAAUACCGGAUAGGAGCGUCCACCGCAUGGUGGGUGUUGGAAAGAUUUAUCGGUUUUGGAUGGACUCGCGGCCUAUCAGCUUGUUGGUGAGGUAAUGGCUCACCAAGGCGACGACGGGUAGCCGGCCUGAGAGGGUGACCGGCCACACUGGGACUGAGACACGGCCCAGACUCCUACGGGAGGCAGCAGUGGGGAAUAUUGCACAAUGGGCGCAAGCCUGAUGCAGCGACGCCGCGUGAGGGAUGACGGCCUUCGGGUUGUAAACCUCUUUCAGUAGGGAAGAAGCGAAAGUAACGGUACCUGCAGAAGAAGCACCGGCUAACUACGUG